RNAcentral lists this ribosomal RNA (439 nucleotides) under uncultured bacterium. Its description in RNAcentral is "bacterial SSU rRNA". It matches the Rfam family "Bacterial small subunit ribosomal RNA", at positions 958 to 1397 of the family's 1533-position model. The record is from RNAcentral.
AACGCGAAGAACCUUACCUAGCCUUGACAUGCACUAGACCGACGCUGAAAGGCGUUUUUCCCGCAAGGGACUGGUGCACAGGUGCUGCAUGGCUGUCGUCAGCUCGUGUCGUGAGAUGUUGGGUUAAGUCCCGCAACGAGCGCAACCCUUAUCUUCAGUUGCUACCAUUUAGUUGAGCACUCUGACGAAACCGCCUCGGAUAACGGGGAGGAAGGUGGGGAUGACGUCAAGUCCUCAUGGCCUUUAUGUCCAGGGCUACACACGUGCUACAAUGGCCGGUACAAACCGCUGCAAACCCGCGAGGGGGAGCUAAUCGGAAAAAGCCGGCCUCAGUUCGGAUUGGAGUCUGCAACUCGACUCCAUGAAGCUGGAAUCGCUAGUAAUCGUGGAUCAGCAUGCCACGGUGAAUACGUUCCCGGGCCUUGUACACACCGCGCUA